UGCAGCCCUGUCAAAUUCGGUCCCUGCCUCCUCCGUGGCGGGGACCGGCCAACCGGCUGCCACAGCAACUUCUGUGGUCUGUUGGCCCCACGUCCCCUUCCUGUGGGACACUGGGGGAUAAAAUCAUGCCACGGACACGU
This is a small nucleolar RNA of Aquila chrysaetos chrysaetos, 140 nucleotides long. Ensembl annotates it as small nucleolar RNA SNORA5. Lineage: Eukaryota; Metazoa; Chordata; Aves; Accipitriformes; Accipitridae. The record is from Ensembl.